AUUGAACGCUGGCGGCAGGCCUAACACAUGCAAGUCGAACGAGUGGCGGACGGGUGAGUAAUGUCUGGGAAACUGCCUGAUGGAGGGGGAUAACUACUGGAAACGGUAGCUAAUACCGCAUACCAUCGGAUGUGCCCAGAUGGGAUUAGCUAGUGGGUGGGGUAAAGGCUCACCUAGGCGACGAUCCCUAGCUGGUCUGAGAGGAUGACAGGCCAAACUGGAACUGAGACAGGUGCCAGACUCCUACGGGAGGCAGCAGGGGGGAAUAUGGCACAAGGGGCGCAAGCCUGAGGCAGCCAGGCCGCGUGUAUGAAGAAGGCCUUCGGGUUGUAAAGUACUUUCAGCGGGGAGGCGUUACCCGCAGAAGAAGCACCGGCAAACUCCGUGCCAGCAGCCGCGGUAAUU
RNAcentral lists this ribosomal RNA (405 nucleotides) under uncultured bacterium. RNAcentral describes it as "partial 16S ribosomal RNA". It matches the Rfam family "Bacterial small subunit ribosomal RNA", at positions 29 to 525 of the family's 1533-position model. The record is from RNAcentral.